RNAcentral lists this unclassified non-coding RNA (220 nucleotides) under fungal sp. RNAcentral's name for it is "partial internal transcribed spacer region". The stretch from base 1 to 46 matches the Rfam family "Eukaryotic small subunit ribosomal RNA", at positions 1786 to 1831 of the family's 1831-position model. The record is from RNAcentral. Lineage: Eukaryota; Fungi.
AAGUCGUAACAAGGUAUCCGUAGGUGAACCUGCGGAUGGAUCAUUAUAGGGUGUUGGGUAAUUGUGAGUGGUUUUAUUAUUAGUAGUUUGAGCGGUGUUGGUUGGGAUGCGAAGCAGGAUUGCCAAGCAAGACAGCCAACAUUGCCUCACGUUAAACUCUAUAAAUCUAACAAUUACAUACAAAAAAAAACAACUUUUAGCAACGGAUCUCUUGGCUCUC